Molecule: long non-coding RNA, 399 nt
Organism: Ceratina calcarata
Lineage: Eukaryota; Metazoa; Arthropoda; Insecta; Hymenoptera; Apidae
Exons: 3
Source: RefSeq, a predicted model, not a curated record
GUUCGACUUCGAACCUAUUUCAAACCCUUCUACGUACGUAAUCGUUACAGACGAUUAGUUACAACGGAUUUAUUGACUUCGAUCGAUUCUUCGAUUAUGUUCAGCUGCUGAGCGAUGUUAUUGCGAAACGGCCGAAGUAGGUGUACUUUCACGGGAAAUGCAUCUGUCAAACUCUCUGGUUAUUCUUCCGACUCGCCAAUGGAAUCUGCACGUUAAUUAGAAAGUGACUCUUCCAGAACGCAUUGCCCACUCUUAUUUAAAAUAGACAUUGCUACGAUCAUCCGAACUGGAUUCGUCGCCCGACAAGGAAACAGCGUGUGUCAGUUUCCCGAUAUGUAAAUGAAAAAAAUAAUUCGAGAUCGCGUCAUCUCGGUAAAUAAAUUCUGACUCACCCUGCCG